Molecule: ribosomal RNA, 233 nt
Filed under: uncultured bacterium
Lineage: Bacteria
Description: partial 16S ribosomal RNA
Rfam family: Bacterial small subunit ribosomal RNA
Source: RNAcentral
UAACCUGCCCUGGAGUGGGGAAUAACAGCUGGAAACAGCUGCUAAUACCGCAUAAUGCAGUUGGGCCGCAUGGCUCUGACUGCCAAAGAUUUAUCGCUCUGGGAUGGACUCGCGUCUGAUUAGCUAGUUGGUGGGGCAACGGCCCACCAAGGCGACGAUCAGUAGCCGGACUGAGAAGUUGGCCGGCCACAUUGGGACUGAGACACGGCCCAGACUCCUACGGAAGGCAGCAG